GACAGAGGGUGCAAACGUUGUUCGGCAUUACUGGGCGUAAAGGGCGCGUAGGCGGCUUGACAAGUCACUUGUGAAAUCUCCGGGCUUAACUCGGAACGGCCAAGUGAAACUGUCAUGCUAGAGUGCAGAAGGGGCAAUCGGAAUUCUUGGUGUAGCGGUGAAAUGCGUAGAUAUCAAGAGGAACACCUGAGGUGAAGACGGGUUGCUGGGCUGACACUGACGCUGAGGCGCGAAAGCCAGGGGAGCAAACGGG
This 253-nucleotide ribosomal RNA is filed under the name uncultured bacterium. RNAcentral's name for it is "partial 16S ribosomal RNA". It matches the Rfam family "Bacterial small subunit ribosomal RNA", at positions 524 to 776 of the family's 1533-position model. The record is from RNAcentral.